AACGCUGGCGGCGCGCCUAACACAUGCAAGUCGAACGAGAGAUGAAGAGCUUGCUCUUCAAAUCGAGUGGCGAACGGGUGAGUAACGCGUGAGGAACCUGCCUCAAAGAGGGGGACAACAGUUGGAAACGGCUGCUAAUACCGCAUAAGCCCACGGCUCGGCAUCGAGCAGAGGGAAAAGGAGCAAUCCGCUUUGAGAUGGCCUCGCGUCCGAUUAGCUAGUUGGUGAGGUAACGGCCCACCAAGGCGACGAUCGGUAGCCGGACUGAGAGGUUGAACGGCCACAUUGGGACUGAGAUACGGCCCAGACUCCUACGGGAGGCAGCAGUGGGGAAUAUUGGGCAAUGGGCGCAAGCCUGACCCAGCAACGCCGCGUGAAGGAAGAAGGCUUUCGGGUUGUAAACUUCUUUUAAGAGGGAAGAGCAGAAGACGGUACCUCUAGAAUAAGCCACGGCUAACUACGUG
This 464-nucleotide ribosomal RNA is filed under the name uncultured bacterium. RNAcentral's name for it is "bacterial SSU rRNA". It matches the Rfam family "Bacterial small subunit ribosomal RNA", at positions 32 to 507 of the family's 1533-position model. The record is from RNAcentral.